RNAcentral lists this ribosomal RNA (253 nucleotides) under uncultured bacterium. RNAcentral's name for it is "partial 16S ribosomal RNA". It matches the Rfam family "Bacterial small subunit ribosomal RNA", at positions 524 to 776 of the family's 1533-position model. The record is from RNAcentral.
UACGUAGGGCGCGAGCGUUGUCCGGAAUUAUUGGGCGUAAAGAGCUCGUAGGCGGCUUGUCGCGUCGGAUGUGAAAGCCCGGGGCUUAACCCCGGGUCGGCAUUCGAUACGGGCAGGCUAGAGUGUGGUAGGGGAGGUCGGAAUUCCUGGUGUAGCGGUGAAAUGCGCAGAUAUCAGGAGGAACACCGGUGGCGAAGGCGGAUCUCUGGGCCAUUACUGACGCUGAGGAGCGAAAGCGUGGGGAGCGAACAGG